AGUAACGCGUAGGUAAUCUACCCUUAUGACUGGGAUAACAUUGGGAAACUGGUGCUAAUACCGGAUGCACUUCUUUACUGCGGGGUAAAGGAGGAAAGGUGGCCUCUUCAUGAAAGCUACCGUAUAGGGAUGAGCCUGCGUACCAUCAGCUAGUAGGCGGGGUAACGGCCCACCUAGGCAACGAUGGUUAGCGGGUCUGAGAGGAUGAUCCGCCACACUGGAACUGGAACACGGACCAG
Molecule: ribosomal RNA, 239 nt
Filed under: uncultured bacterium
Lineage: Bacteria
Description: partial 16S ribosomal RNA
Rfam family: Bacterial small subunit ribosomal RNA
Source: RNAcentral